Molecule: ribosomal RNA, 422 nt
Filed under: uncultured bacterium
Lineage: Bacteria
Description: partial 16S ribosomal RNA
Rfam family: Bacterial small subunit ribosomal RNA
Source: RNAcentral
UGGGGAAUAUUGGACAAUGGGCGAAAGCCUGAUCCAGCAAUUCCGCGUGUGUGAAGAAGGCCUUCGGGUUGUAAAGCACUUUAGUGGGGGAAGAAACAGCUUGGCCACACCAAGCCUUGACGGUACCCCAAGAAUAAGCACCGGCUAACUCUGUGCCAGCAGCCGCGGUAAUACAGAGGGUGCAAGCGUUAAUCGGAUUUACUGGGCGUAAAGGGUGCGUAGGUGGUUUUUUAAGUCGGAUGUGAAAGCCUGGGGCUCAACCUCAGAAGUGCAUUCGAUACUGGGAAACUAGAGUUCGGUAGAGGGCGGCGGAAUUUCCGGUGUAGCGGUGAAAUGCGUAGAUAUCGGAAGGAACAUCAAUGGCGAAGGCAGCCGCCUGGGCCUGGACUGACACUGAGGCACGAAAGCGUGGGUAGCAAACA